ACUCAAAGGAAUAGACGGGGGCCCGCACAAGCGGUGGAGCAUGUGGUUUAAUUCGACGCAACGCGAAGAACCUUACCUGGGCUCGAACGGCUGUGGACCAUCUCUGGAAACAGGGACUUUCCGCAAGGAAUCACAGUCGAGGUGCUGCAUGGCUGUCGUCAGCUCGUGUCGUGAGAUGUUGGGUUAAGUCCCGCAACGAGCGCAACCCUUGUCCUGUGUUGCCAUUGAUGGAACUCGCAGGAGACCGCCAGGGAUAACCUGGAGGAAGGUGGGGAUGACGUCAAGUCCUCAUGGCCUUUAUGUCCAGGGCUACACACGUGCUACAAUGGACGGUACAGAGCGCUGCCAACCCGCGAGGGGGAGCUAAUCGCAAAAAACCGUUCUCAGUUCGGAUUGCAGGCUGCAACUCGCCUGCAUGAAGCUGGAAUCGCUAGUAAUGCUAUAUCAGAACGAUAGCGUGAAUACGUUCCCGGGCCUUGCACACACCGCCCGU
RNAcentral lists this ribosomal RNA (493 nucleotides) under uncultured bacterium. Its description in RNAcentral is "partial 16S ribosomal RNA". It matches the Rfam family "Bacterial small subunit ribosomal RNA", at positions 899 to 1397 of the family's 1533-position model. The record is from RNAcentral.